This is a long non-coding RNA of Penaeus chinensis, 1811 nucleotides long. RefSeq lists it as uncharacterized. NCBI's taxonomy places the organism in Eukaryota, Metazoa, Arthropoda, Malacostraca, Decapoda, Penaeidae. The transcript has 7 exons. The record is from RefSeq and is a predicted model, not a curated record.
AGAGAGAGGGAGAGAGAGAGAGAGAGAGGGGACUUGUCGAGUCCUUAUCUUCCAUAUCAGCUGACUCCAUAUCUUUAAGCAUCAAUAAGCACAUGAUUACUUUAUUGUGAAGCACUAGUGAUAUAGAAGAAAAGUGAACGGAGACAUGCAGUUUAUUGCUACCCGAACGUUGCAUAAACAGAAUACGUAAAGAAAAGAAAACAAAACAACAAACAGUAGAAACGAAAGCGAAUGAAAAAUUAAGAGAAAAAGAGAAAGAUAAACACGCCCAGAGGAAAUUCACCACAGUUUUUGAGACCAGCGAGAGAGGGAGAGGGAGAGGAGAGGAGGGAAAGGAAGAUUUCCACAUCGACGUGAGGCUCCCCGAGAAACUACCCUUUAAUAUAUAAAAUAAAAUGUCAAGAAUAAGGAUUAAAACCCAACCCUGCUGAAGUUAAGAGGCCGUCGAGCAAGGAACUAUAACGAGGAAUCAAGAGUUAGACAUUUCUACGUCAGGAUCUGCUGGUUUGGAGGAUGGUCGGGUAAACAAAGAUCGCUGUUUGUCUUCCCUGUCAUCACUGCAACACCUCGAUAUGAUUCGCACAAGGAACUUCCUUCUCCUUGCAUUCUCCCUGCUAUCCAUGCUCAUAUACCUUAUGUACAUGGACCUGCUGCCUGGUAGUCUGCGCCAAAACGGAAACGAGGAAUCCUCCGCAGCCUCGGUUAAAUCUCGUAUUUAUGGCAGAGAAGAAGCAGAAUAACUUCAUUUUCCCGACAUAAGAUGCAGACGACCCGAAGUUUAAAGUCUCCCCUGAAGAUUUCUUCAUAGAAAACGGAGACGCUGAUCUCCGGCAUCAAAAUUAUUUUUCCUUGAAUUUUUAUUUUAUUUUGGUCGCCGCACACCCGCUACGUCUUCUGGGUGUUGGAGUCUGCGUCUCAUCUCUACGGCGACAUCUCCCUGUUCGAGAGCAUCUUCAACUGGACCAUGGCGGACGGACUCGAUUCGGACUUCCCGAGACCACUACUUUGUCGCCGACGAAUGGAUACAGAAAGCCCAAGCCUACUGUGGGCUGUGCGAGAGACUCCACAUCGACAACAGUACCAAAGUAUACGACCUGAGCAAGUGGUAUGUGCAAGAGUCGCACUGUGUGGGGAAGACGACCCUGGAAAUUCGGGAAUUCAUUGGCGGGUUCAAAUACCACUCAGCCGUACCCUUUUCUCGCGAGCUUGGUGGUAGUGGCUGGUGUUGUCAGUUACUGUUAUUCUUACAUGUAAGCCAAAUAGAAUAGAACACAGGCUUUGUAAGUUGAUAAGAAAGAGAAAGUGAAUGUUAUGAAAUGACUAAGUAACUUUAAUAAUUUGUGAGGUCUAAAGGUAGAAAAUCUUCCUAUGAUAAAUUGGAGAGAAUUGGUCUUUUGUAUGGAAAGUGUCCCUCACCUGUUACACUGUCAGGUGCGUAUGAGGAAGAACACGUUCAUAAAAAAAUUAAAAAUAAUAAAAAUAGAAAUUAAAAUAAAACAUGGACCUUAUUUCUCUUCUAUAAAAAAUAACUAUUUCUUGAUAAAGAGGUGUAAUUUUCAGGCUUAAAUUCGAACCAUACAAAGGCCCUCGGCAUGUGACUCAACAGUGAGUGAGUCUGUCGUGGUGGGCAGGCGAUCAGGGUGCCAGUCUCGCAUAACAGUUCUAAGACACUUUCUGGUACAGAAAGAAGCUCUUGAAAGAUUUUUAAAUUUUGUGUUACUAUUUUGUCACAACAGUGAAGAUUUAUCCUUCUUCCAAGUAUAAAUAAUAGAAAUAUGGUUUAAUGUUUGAAUAAAACUACUGAAUUAGCA